This 519-nucleotide ribosomal RNA is filed under the name uncultured eukaryote. Its description in RNAcentral is "partial 18S ribosomal RNA". It matches the Rfam family "Eukaryotic small subunit ribosomal RNA", at positions 1162 to 1658 of the family's 1831-position model. The record is from RNAcentral.
AGGGCCCCACCAGGAGGGGAGCCUGCGGCUUAAUUUGACUCACCACGGUGAAACUCACCCGGCCCGGACACCGUAAGGAUUGACAGAUUGAUAGCUUUUUCUUGAUUCGGCGGAUGGUGGUGGAUGGCCGUUCUUAGGUCGUGGAGCGAUUUGGCUGGUUUAUUCCCAUAACGAACGAGACUCUAGCCUACUAAUCCGCUCCCAAUUCGCCCCUGGGGGGGGGCCUUUUUAAAGGAGUUUUCGGGGUGAGGCCCCCGAAGAUUGAGCAAACUCAGGUUGGGUGGGCCCUUAUCAGUGCGGGCUUUGCAGCCCGCUUAACUGGGAAAAAUCCCGGUUUUUUGCCUUCCCCAAAAGGGGUGGGAAAGCCCUUUAAAAUUUGCCGGGCUUUGGAAUUUGAAAUUGCCCAUUUAUUCCCUGCACUCGGAAGUUCAAAUGAGGGGAAAGGUUUCAGUCUCACUUUUAGUGCCGCCCAGCCCCUUUGCCCACAACCCCCGGACAUCGCCGGGAAAGAAGGCCUUU